CUGGCGGCGUGCCUAAUACAUGCAAGUCGAACGGUCUUUUCUAUGGAAGCUUGCUUCCACUGAGAAGAUAGUGGCGGACGGGUGAGUAACACGUGGGUAACCUGCCCAUAAGAGGGGGAUAACAUCCGGAAACGGGUGCUAAUACCGCAUAGUUUUCUUGAUCGCAUGAUCGAGAAAGGAAAGACGGCCUUUGUGCUGUCGCUUAUGGAUGGACCCGCGGCGUAUUAGUUAGUUGGUGAGGUAAUGGCUCACCAAGACGAUGAUACGUAGCCGACCUGAGAGGGUGAUCGGCCACAUUGGGACUGAGACACGGCCCAAACUCCUACGGGAGGCAGCAGUAGGGAAUCUUCCGCAAUGGACGAAAGUCUGACGGAGCAACGCCGCGUGAGUGAAGAAGGUUUUCGGAUCGUAAAACUCUGUUGUCAGAGAAGAACAAGUUGGAGAGUAACUGCUCCAGCCUUGACGGUAUCUGACCAGAAAGCCACGGCUAACUACGUGCCAGCAGCCGCGGUAAUACGUAGGUGGCAAGCGUUGUCCGGAUUUAUUGGGCGUAAAGCGAGCGCAGGCGGUUCCUUAAGUCUGAUGUGAAAGCCCACGGCUCAACCGUGGAAGGUCAUUGGAAACUGGGGAACUUGAGUGCAGAAGAGGAGAGUGGAAUUCCAUGUGUAGCGGUGAAAUGCGUAGAUAUAUGGAGGAACACCAGUGGCGAAGGCGACUCUCUGGUCUGUAACUGACGCUGAGGCUCGAAAGCGUGGGGAGCAAACAGGAUUAGAUACCCUGGUAGUCCACGCCGUAAACGAUGAGUGCUAAGUGUUGGAGGGUUUCCACCCUUCAGUGCUGCAGCUAACGCAUUAAGCACU
RNAcentral lists this ribosomal RNA (860 nucleotides) under Trichococcus pasteurii. RNAcentral's name for it is "bacterial SSU rRNA". It matches the Rfam family "Bacterial small subunit ribosomal RNA", at positions 36 to 868 of the family's 1533-position model. The record is from RNAcentral. Lineage: Bacteria; Bacillati; Bacillota; Bacilli; Lactobacillales; Carnobacteriaceae.